UUAAGUUAUUAAGGGCGCACGGUGGAUGCCUUGGCACUAGAAGCCGAUGAAGGACGUUACUAACGACGAUAUGCUUUGGGGAGCUGUAAGUAAGCUUUGAUCCAGAGAUUUCCGAAUGGGGAAACCCAGCAUGAGUUAUGUCAUGUUAUCGAUAUGUGAAUACAUAGCAUAUCAGAAGGCACACCCGGAGAACUGAAACAUCUUAGUACCCGGAGGAAGAGAAAGAAAAUUCGAUUCCCUUAGUAGCGGCGAGCGAAACGGGAAGAGCCCAAACCAACAAGCUUGCUUGUUGGGGUUGUAGGACACUCUAUACGGAGUUACAAAGGACGACAUUAGACGAAUCAUCUGGAAAGAUGAAUCAAAGAAGGUAAUAAUCCUGUAGUCGAAAAUGUUGUCUCUCUUGAGUGGAUCCUGAGUACGACGGAGCACGUGAAAUUCCGUCGGAAUCUGGGAGGACCAUCUCCUAAGGCUAAAUACUCUCUAGUGACCGAUAGUGAACCAGUACCGUGAGGGAAAGGUGAAAAGCACCCCGGAAGGGGAGUGAAAUAGAACCUGAAACCGUGUGCUUACAAGUAGUCAGAGCCCGUUAAUGGGUGAUGGCGUGCCUUUUGUAGAAUGAACCGGCGAGUUACGAUUUGAUGCAAGGUUAAGCAGUAAAUGUGGAGCCGUAGCGAAAGCGAGUCUGAAUAGGGCGUUUAGUAUUUGGUCGUAGACCCGAAACCAGGUGAUCUACCCUUGGUCAGGUUGAAGUUCAGGUAACACUGAAUGGAGGACCGAACCGACUUACGUUGAAAAGUGAGCGGAUGAACUGAGGGUAGCGGAGAAAUUCCAAUCGAACCUGGAGAUAGCUGGUUCUCUCCGAAAUAGCUUUAGGGCUAGCCUCAAGUGAUGAUUAUUGGAGGUAGAGCACUGUUUGGACGAGGGGCCCCUCUCGGGUUACCGAAUUCAGACAAACUCCGAAUGCCAAUUAAUUUAACUUGGGAGUCAGAACAUGGGUGAUAAGGUCCGUGUUCGAAAGGGAAACAGCCCAGACCACCAGCUAAGGUCCCAAAAUAUAUGUUAAGUGGAAAAGGAUGUGGCGUUGCCCAGACAACUAGGAUGUUGGCUUAGAAGCAGCCAUCAUUUAAAGAGUGCGUAAUAGCUCACUAGUCGAGUGACACUGCGCCGAAAAUGUACCGGGGCUAAACAUAUUACCGAAGCUGUGGAUUGUCCUUUGGACAAUGGUAGGAGAGCGUUCUAAGGGCGUUGAAGCAUGAUCGUAAGGACAUGUGGAGCGCUUAGAAGUGAGAAUGCCGGUGUGAGUAGCGAAAGACGGGUGAGAAUCCCGUCCACCGAUUGACUAAGGUUUCCAGAGGAAGGCUCGUCCGCUCUGGGUUAGUCGGGUCCUAAGCUGAGGCCGACAGGCGUAGGCGAUGGAUAACAGGUUGAUAUUCCUGUACCACCUAUAAUCGUUUUAAUCGAUGGGGGGACGCAGUAGGAUAGGCGAAGCGUGCGAUUGGAUUGCACGUCUAAGCAGUAAGGCUGAGUAUUAGGCAAAUCCGGUACUCGUUAAGGCUGAGCUGUGAUGGGGAGAAGACAUUGUGUCUUCGAGUCGUUGAUUUCACACUGCCGAGAAAAGCCUCUAGAUAGAAAAUAGGUGCCCGUACCGCAAACCGACACAGGUAGUCAAGAUGAGAAUUCUAAGGUGAGCGAGCGAACUCUCGUUAAGGAACUCGGCAAAAUGACCCCGUAACUUCGGGAGAAGGGGUGCUCUUUAGGGUUAACGCCCAGAAGAGCCGCAGUGAAUAGGCCCAAGCGACUGUUUAUCAAAAACACAGGUCUCUGCUAAACCGUAAGGUGAUGUAUAGGGGCUGACGCCUGCCCGGUGCUGGAAGGUUAAGAGGAGUGGUUAGCUUCUGCGAAGCUACGAAUCGAAGCCCCAGUAAACGGCGGCCGUAACUAUAACGGUCCUAAGGUAGCGAAAUUCCUUGUCGGGUAAGUUCCGACCCGCACGAAAGGCGUAACGAUUUGGGCACUGUCUCAACGAGAGACUCGGUGAAAUCAUAGUACCUGUGAAGAUGCAGGUUACCCGCGACAGGACGGAAAGACCCCGUGGAGCUUUACUGUAGCCUGAUAUUGAAAUUCGGCACAGCUUGU
RNAcentral lists this ribosomal RNA (2136 nucleotides) under Staphylococcus aureus 44(2608). RNAcentral's name for it is "bacterial LSU rRNA". It matches the Rfam family "Bacterial large subunit ribosomal RNA", at positions 3 to 2137 of the family's 2925-position model. The record is from RNAcentral. Lineage: Bacteria; Bacillati; Bacillota; Bacilli; Caryophanales; Staphylococcaceae.